UACGUAGGGUGCGAGCGUUAAUCGGAAUUACUGGGCGUAAAGUGUGCGCAGGCGGCGUUGCAAGUCGAGUGUGAAAUCCCUGGGCUUAACUUGGGAACUGCGCUCGAAACUACGAUGCUGGAGUGUGGCAGAGGAAGGUGGAAUUCCAGGUGUAGCGGUGAAAUGCGUAGAGAUCUGGAGGAACACCGAUGGCGAAGGCAGCCUUCUGGGCCAACACUGACGCUCAUGCACGAAAGCGUGGGGAGCAAACAGG
RNAcentral lists this ribosomal RNA (253 nucleotides) under Betaproteobacteria bacterium. Its description in RNAcentral is "partial 16S ribosomal RNA". It matches the Rfam family "Bacterial small subunit ribosomal RNA", at positions 524 to 776 of the family's 1533-position model. Lineage: Bacteria; Pseudomonadati; Pseudomonadota; Betaproteobacteria. RNAcentral also lists the same sequence under 1 other name. The record is from RNAcentral.